GGCCAGUUAGCUCAGUUGGUAGAGCAUGAGACUCUCAAUCUCAGGCUUGUGGGCUCAAGCCUGCAGUGGGCA
This 72-nucleotide transfer RNA is filed under the name Dryobates pubescens (Downy woodpecker). RNAcentral's name for it is "Picoides pubescens (downy woodpecker) tRNA". It matches the Rfam family "tRNA". Rfam says of the family: Transfer RNA (tRNA) molecules are approximately 80 nucleotides in length. Their secondary structure includes four short double-helical elements and three loops (D, anti-codon, and T loops). The record is from Rfam by way of RNAcentral. Lineage: Eukaryota; Metazoa; Chordata; Aves; Piciformes; Picidae.